Molecule: ribosomal RNA, 511 nt
Filed under: marine bacterium AG6_006
Lineage: Bacteria
Description: bacterial SSU rRNA
Rfam family: Bacterial small subunit ribosomal RNA
Source: RNAcentral
CCAGACUCCUACGGGAGGCAGCAGUGGGGAAUAUUGGACAAUGGGCGAAAGCCUGAUCCAGCCAUGCCGCGUGUGUGAAGAAGGUCUUCGGAUUGUAAAGCACUUUAAGUUGGGAGGAAGGGCAUUAACCUAAUACGUUAGUGUUUUGACGUUACCGACAGAAUAAGCACCGGCUAACUCUGUGCCAGCAGCCGCGGUAAUACAGAGGGUGCAAGCGUUAAUCGGAAUUACUGGGCGUAAAGCGCGCGUAGGUGGUUUGUUAAGUUGGAUGUGAAAGCCCCGGGCUCAACCUGGGAACUGCAUCCAAAACUGGCAAGCUAGAGUACGGUAGAGGGUGGGUGGAAUUUCCUGUGUAGCGGUGAAAUGCGUACAUAUAGGAAGGAACACCAGUGGCGAAAGCGACCACCUGGACUGAUGCUGACACUGAGGUGCGAAAUCAUGGGGAGCAAACAGGAUUAGAUACCCUGGUAGUCCACGCCGUAAACGAUGUCAACUAGCCGUUGGAAUCCUU